Molecule: small nuclear RNA, 107 nt
Filed under: Spermophilus dauricus (Daurian ground squirrel)
Lineage: Eukaryota; Metazoa; Chordata; Mammalia; Rodentia; Sciuridae
Source: RNAcentral
GUGAUCACUUCAGCAGCACAUAUACUAAAAUUGGAACUACAGAGAGAAGGUUAGCAUGGCCCUUGCACAAGGAUGACAUACAAAUUCAUAAAGCAUUCCAUAUUCAG